UACAGAGGGUGCGAGCGUUGUCCGGAAUCACUGGGCGUAAAGGGCGCGUAGGUGGCGCCGCAAGUCCAUGGUGAAAGCUCGAUGCUCAACAUCGAGUCGGCCACGGAGACUGCGGGGCUCGAGCACUGUAGGGGCAGAUGGAAUUCCGGGUGUAGCGGUGGAAUGCGUAGAGAUCCGGAAGAACACCGGUGGCGAAGGCGGUCUGCUGGGCAGUUGCUGACACUGAGGCGCGGACAGCGUGGGGAGCAAACAGG
RNAcentral lists this ribosomal RNA (254 nucleotides) under uncultured bacterium. Its description in RNAcentral is "partial 16S ribosomal RNA". It matches the Rfam family "Bacterial small subunit ribosomal RNA", at positions 524 to 776 of the family's 1533-position model. The record is from RNAcentral.